This is a long non-coding RNA of Condylura cristata (star-nosed mole), 1228 nucleotides long. RefSeq lists it as uncharacterized. The transcript has 9 exons. The record is from RefSeq and is a predicted model, not a curated record. NCBI's taxonomy places the organism in Eukaryota, Metazoa, Chordata, Mammalia, Eulipotyphla, Talpidae.
AACCUGCCUGUGUGUCAGGACUCUUCUCAUGUCUUUCUCCUCCUUGAAGUAUCCCAGAUAAAAGGUGACCAAGGUAUGCUUACAGAGAAUAGGAAAAUGGAAACAGCAAAGAAAGAGGAUUGAAGACAACAGCUGUUUGAUAGAAAAUGGAAAAGAAUUUCUCCAUAUAUGCUCAAAACCCUGAUGUCACAGGAAAAGAGAGAAAUGUAUUAUGAAGAAAUAGUUUGCUGAACUUAAAUCACUGAAAAUGAGAGGAGAGGUAUGCUACAAGUAAUUAUAGCAGAAAAUAAAAGCUUUGACAAAAAGAAAUAUAGAAGAGGCUUUAACUUGCCACUAAUCACCAUCCUGUACUUAGGAAUAGAAGCAAGAAAAUGGAACAAUAUGAAAGAAUGAACAGGCACACCCUGCCUACACCCACCUCCCACUAAGUGGUCCUUGGCUGUCAGGUGCAAUCAACAAGGGAAGUUAAGCUUCCGCCCAGCAGGGGAGCAAGUAUAAAGGAGAGCGGAGAAGCCAAAAACCCACACUCAAUUUUGCAGCUUUGUAGGAUGUUCUCAAUUUGAGAAGAGAUCCUGUGAGCAUUUCUGCAUGAAAGCCAAGGGCAGGGGUCAGCGUUUUGCCUCUGAGGAGUUAGGUGUGGGGGAAAAGGGAAGAUAAAUUCUAAAGCAGCCAACAAAACACCGGGACUCCUCUGUGCGCCGGGAUCAUCCGCCAUUCCAGAAGAGGAUUUGGGGACCCCAGGAUUGCGCAAAAGUAAGACCAGAAAGAACGCAGAGAAGUAACCCCCUGAAUUUAUGGGACUCGUUUUCAGUCUUUCAAGAGCCAGUACUUCCUCCCCUCAUCACCAUGUGGACUUCUCAAGCUGAACACUCAUCUAUUUAUAAGUGUCCGGCGGUUGUCCUCGUGUUCCCCGCAGCCUUGCUUCUCUGAUCCUGUCUCCUUCAUCACUGGAUCGCAGGCUGAUGAAAGUCACUGCAAAAAAUCUGACUGGAUGUAUGAACACUUCAGCCUACUGAUAGUUUCUAGUUGCUCUGGAGGAUUAUAGAACUACCUAAUGAUCAACUUUGUGUGCAGUUUUCCAAAGACCUCCCUGAUGGCACUGUGGGAUGGAGCGCUGCAGAGUGAAGCUGAGCACUGCCAGCUUCAGUGAGUUCAGUCCCCGCCUGGGAGGUGACCCCGUGGUGCAGUAGCUCCCUCCUGCUCAUCUGCUGCUGCUUGCUGCUCCCUU